This 305-nucleotide ribosomal RNA is filed under the name uncultured bacterium. RNAcentral's name for it is "bacterial SSU rRNA". It matches the Rfam family "Bacterial small subunit ribosomal RNA", at positions 333 to 637 of the family's 1533-position model. The record is from RNAcentral.
UGUGCCUACGGGGCGCAGCAGUGAGGAAUAUUGGUCAAUGGGAGAGAUCCUGAACCAGCCAAGCCGCGUGAGGGAAGACGGCCCUAAGGGUUGUAAACCUCUUUUGUCGGAGAACAAAACCCGGGACGUGUCCUGGACUGCGUGUAUCCGAAGAAAAAGCAUCGGCUAACUCCGUGCCAGCAGCCGCGGUAAUACGGAGGAUGCGAGCGUUAUCCGGAUUUAUUGGGUUUAAAGGGUGAGUAGGCGGUCCGUUAAGUCAGCGGUAAAAUUGCAGGGCGCAACCCCGUCUAGCCGUUGAAACUGGA